AUUGAACGCUGGCGGCAUGCCUUACACAUGCAAGUCGAACGGCAGCGGGGGAGAAGCUUGCUUUUCCUGCCGGCGAGUGGCGAACGGGUGAGUAAUACAUCGGAACGUGCCCUGUAGUGGGGGAUAACUAGUCGAAAGAUUAGCUAAUACCGCAUACGACCUGAGGGUGAAAGUGGGGGACCGCAAGGCCUCAUGCUAUAGGAGCGGCCGAUGUCUGAUUAGCUAGUUGGUGGGGUAAAGGCCUACCAAGGCGACGAUCAGUAGCUGGUCUGAGAGGACGAUCAGCCACACUGGGACUGAGACACGGCCCAGACUCCUACGGGAGGCAGCAGUGGGGAAUUUUGGACAAUGGGCGAAAGCCUGAUCCAGCAAUGCCGCGUGUGUGAAGAAGGCCUUCGGGCUGUAAAGCACUUUUGUCCGGAAAGAAAUGGCUCUGGUUAAUACCUGGGGUCGAUGACGGUACCGGAAGAAUCAGGACCGGCUAACUACGUGCCAGCCGCCGCAGUAA
Molecule: ribosomal RNA, 508 nt
Filed under: uncultured bacterium
Lineage: Bacteria
Description: partial 16S ribosomal RNA
Rfam family: Bacterial small subunit ribosomal RNA
Source: RNAcentral